This 452-nucleotide ribosomal RNA is filed under the name uncultured bacterium. RNAcentral's name for it is "partial 16S ribosomal RNA". It matches the Rfam family "Bacterial small subunit ribosomal RNA", at positions 28 to 507 of the family's 1533-position model. The record is from RNAcentral.
GAUGAACGCUGGCGGCGUGCCUAACACAUGCAAGUCGAGCGAUUCUCUUCGGAGAAGAGCGGCGGACGGGUGAGUAACGCGUGGGUAACCUGCCCUGUACACACGGAUAACAUACCGAAAGGUAUGCUAAUACGAGAUAAUAUGCUUUUAUCGCAUGGUAGAAGUAUCAAAGCUUUUGCGGUACAGGAUGGACCCGCGUCUGAUUAGCUAGUUGGUAAGGUAACGGCUUACCAAGGCGACGCUCAGUAGCCGACCUGAGAGGGUGAUCGGCCACAUUGGAACUGAGACACGGUCCAAACUCCUACGGGAGGCAGCAGUGGGGAAUAUUGCACAAUGGGCGAAAGCCUGAUGCAGCAACGCCGCGUGAGCGAUGAAGGCCUUCGGGUCGUAAAGUUCUGUCCUCAAGGAAGAUAAUGACGGUACUUGAGGAGGAAGCCCCGGCUAACUACGUG